GAAAGCAAAUCAUUCAGUCCAGGUGCAACCUCACAACAGGGUUACACCUGGGAUGAAUUUGGUCCAAUAUGUUUUGAAGCCUCCUAUAAAACUUCCUUUAUGGUUUGCAUACCAUUUGUAGCACGAGAAAGGAUCUGAUAGAGGACCUCAAGCAUAGCGAGUUCUUUUUGUUGCUUUCCUUCUUUCUGUUACUGGAAAUACAUGCCACAGGAAGCAAGCAGCCAUCACUGAGUGUGCUCUAAUUCCUGUUUUACAAAGGGAGAAGAUGGAGUUCAUCAGUAUGUUACUUUUCUUGCUGCAAGUUUCAAGUGCAGCAAGACGACGCAUUCAAGUGACUGGUGAGGUUGGAGGAUCCAUCACCAUAAAGUGUCCUGUGAAGGACAUUUCCAGUCGAAAAUUCUGGUGCAGGGAGCUCGAGACAGGGGUCUGUGGCACCAUCAUCUCCACCUCACCAUACAUCAGUGAGAAUUACAGGAAUAGAAUAUCCAUCACUGAGGAGCCUCAGGAAGGAAUAUUUCAAAUUACAAUCACAAGACUGGAAGAGGAUGACACUGGGCUGUACACGUGUGGGACAGGAUAUAAAAAUGACAAAGGCAGUGGAAGGACCCUCCAAGUGGAGCUGAAGGUUUCUAACGGGAAUGUUCCACCCAGAAUGGGCAUGUUGUCGGCUGAACCCCUGAGACGUGACAGACCUAUUGUGGUACCAGCAGAGUCUGGCAACAAAAGUGCUGACACUCAAGGAGUCACACAACCACAGAUGACUAAUGGAGCAUGGGCAAAAUAUACCUCCUAUGCUGUGCCUGGCAUCAAAUUCCCCGGAAGUACGAUAAUCACACCUGCAGACAUCAUUGGCAGCACUGUUACCAAUGCAGCGUCUGGAAGUACAACAAAGGGGAUUCCAAAGAAUUCCAGGACAAUCGGCUAUGCACAUUCCAGGCAUACAAAGCGCCUCUUGAGAAGCAAUUAUGGGAAUGAUGUCUUUCAAAUCCUGAUACCAGUUCUCCUGAUAAUGCUUCUGCUUCUGGCUUCUAUGAUAAUUGUUAGAAAACAGCUACGAGGGAAGAAAGCCAUUACAAUCUACAUGUUUGGAUGUUUUGGAGAAGCAGCUUCCAGUGAAACCUAUGGAAUAAACCUGAGGUUGGGUGCACUCGAACAUGGCCAAGGGCACGUUCCAAUGGAAAAUAUCUACAGCGUGUUACCCCGCCGGCUCCAGGGAGCGGACAGGAACAGUUCUCAUGUACCUUGUGACUCAUAUCACUGCAGAGUUGACUUAUAAGAGCUACUGUGACGGCACAUCGGUCACCAGGCACAGCUGAGGAAGGACUUGAGGCACACGCAAAGCCGCCUCCAAUCAGCACCUGAACCCUACAUAUCAAAGCAUUACUUUGAUGCUGUGACCGCACUGCUCUGCAGAAGCUGGUCUACAUGCUUUCUCCGCACAAAGGACUAAUGCUAAGUUUACAAAGGUCUAAAGAAGAACUCGAUGUAGCAUGUCCCUUCUACCAGCAGAAAUUGGUCCAAUAGAAGAUAUUACCUCACUCAAGGUGUCUCACUUUUAAUUUAUAGCAGUAUAAGUGAAAUCAGAUUCAGACCCUAAACUACUAUCAGAGGCCUAGAGAGGUCCCUCCGUGUAUACCCCUACUAGUGUGGUGGGGUGGGGGAGCUUAUACUGCUACGCUCCAGGCAGAAGGUGUCAUCCCAGACUACUUCACAGUGACCAUCAGCCUGGUUCUGGAUCCUGUUCUCUAGUCACCAUUCCCUUCCAUGACUUUGGAUUCCUGGCCAGGACUUACUAUGACCCCCACGUGGGUACACUGGAGAGAAUGGGCUGUGUUAGUCUGGGAGUGAAAGACAACCACAGGCCCAUCUGUGUCCAGUAGCUUCAAUAAGGAAUCCUCCUUAUAUUGCUCAUGGCUAAGUCCUGUCUAUUCUGCAGACAGGAGGACAAUGCAGACCCUCUCCCCGUUCUCAGAUGCUGCCCUUCCCCUAACAUCUGUAAGAAAGAAAUGAUCUACAUCUGUUUUGAAAUGAACUAUUAAACUUUUAUUAGCUGCAAAAAAGUAAAGAACUUUGACCAUACAUCUUAAAUACAGUUAGACAUUUAAAAUAUUGUAAGAACAAAUAUUGUCAUUACACCUGAUGUCAGUUUCUCAAAGACAUUAUUCACUGCUAGUGGCUUGUACAAUAUGUACAUACUGAAUAAUAUAUAAUAUGAUCAUGACAUAUUAGUUAUAUAAGAACAGAUACACCUUAAAUACAUUUUACUAUAAAUACAUCUUAAAUAAAACAGAUUAUUUAAAUAGAACUUAUUUAGAAUAAAUAACAUUUGGAACUUGCAAAGCACCUUUCAUUAGAGAUCUCAAAUGAGUGUUAUGAUGGAAAUGUAGUUUUAGUUCUAAGACAUUUUACAAGUUAGUGUCUGAUAAGCUCUUGUCACUUAUACCUGUGCGUAAUGUGAUGUGGGAACCUCAAAAGGUUCCGCUUUGGGUGAAUACUUAUCUAAGUUUAUCUAAACCUCUUGGGACUGAUUCUCAUCUCACUGACACCAGAAGUGAAGUCCUGGCCCCUUUCAAAGCCAAUGGCAAAACUCCCAUUUCACUUCAGUACAGCCAGGAUUUCACCCCAGAUAUAUAGCUACACAUCUCCAUCUACUACUGUGGGGUUUCUCCUGACCUACAUGAAUGUAAGUGAAAGGAGAAUAAGACCACUUGAGCUGGAAAGUGUGGUGCCUGAUCUUGUACUCAGAGAAACAGUCUCAUUCAAGUUAACGGGACCAUUCAGGGGAGUAAGGGUUACAGUUUUGAGGAUGACCUUCGUAUGGAAAGAAAAGGGGCCUUUGUGAGUUUUCUGGUACCUCCUCCUUCCAGAUAAGCUGGAAAUGCUUUUGGAAGAGUGUUUCUCACAGUAUUCAGGUGCUUCCAUUUCUAGCCCUGAUUGGGACCAAGCAGAGGCAAAGAACAAUUUAAAUAAAUUAUCUAUUGAAGCUGUGGGUGAAAAUUCUGGCUUCUUAAUGUAACUGGUACAACAAUAUGGCUGAAGGAGAUGCUCCUGAACUGAUUUAGAUCCAGCAUUUGGUUCAGGCCCAUCAUUAGUAGAAAGUACCAAACAAGUAGAGAUAUAAUGUUGUUGGGCCCUGUGAAAUGGAAACAACAUCAGUGUGUUCCUGAUGUGACAUCUCCACUCCCAUGGCCUGGGGCUGAAAAUCAGUGAGUGCUCACAAUUCCAGGAUCAGGCAAUCUGCUUUAGCUGUGCAGCUCCGUCAAAUGAAAGUAGCUCACAGCCUACAUCACCAGAUCCCUUGAGAUUCUAAAGAGCAGGAUCUUGGGGAAUUUCUCCUUGAGCCAUGCAGACAUCUGCCUCUUUCAGUAACAAACAAUUAACAUACACAGGACCAUUGUCACCUAGUGUACCCUGUCAGACCUCUUUGGGCUUCCAUGGAGCUACAUCACUUUACACUGUAUUACAGAAAACAAAAACAACCUGAAGAUUUGUAAAUAAUUUUGAA
Mauremys reevesii (Reeves's turtle) is the source of this 3505-nucleotide RNA transcript. It is a transcript of the gene named fas apoptotic inhibitory molecule 3-like, with no coding region annotated. The transcript has 8 exons. NCBI's taxonomy places the organism in Eukaryota, Metazoa, Chordata, Testudines, Geoemydidae. The record is from RefSeq and is a predicted model, not a curated record.